RNAcentral lists this ribosomal RNA (812 nucleotides) under Bacillus sp. (in: firmicutes). RNAcentral's name for it is "bacterial SSU rRNA". It matches the Rfam family "Bacterial small subunit ribosomal RNA", at positions 61 to 853 of the family's 1533-position model. Lineage: Bacteria; Bacillati; Bacillota; Bacilli; Caryophanales; Bacillaceae. The record is from RNAcentral.
GUCGAGCGGACAGUAUGGGAGCUUGCUCCCUGAUGUUAGCGGCGGACGGGUGAGUAACACGUGGGUAACCUGCCUGUAAGACUGGGAUAACUCCGGGAAACCGGGGCUAAUACCGGAUGGUUGUUUGAACCGCAUGGUUCAAACAUAAAAGGUGGCUUCGGCUACCACUUACAGAUGGACCCGCGGCGCAUUAGCUAGUUGGUGAGGUAACGGCUCACCAAGGCAACGAUGCGUAGCCGACCUGAGAGGGUGAUCGGCCACACUGGGACUGAGACACGGCCCAGACUCCUACGGGAGGCAGCAGUAGGGAAUCUUCCGCAAUGGACGAAAGUCUGACGGAGCAACGCCGCGUGAGUGAUGAAGGUUUUCGGAUCGUAAAGCUCUGUUGUUAGGGAAGAACAAGUACCGUUCGAAUAGGGCGGUACCUUGACGGUACCUAACCAGAAAGCCACGGCUAACUACGUGCCAGCAGCCGCGGUAAUACGUAGGUGGCAAGCGUUGUCCGGAAUUAUUGGGCGUAAAGGGCUCGCAGGCGGUUUCUUAAGUCUGAUGUGAAAGCCCCCGGCUCAACCGGGGAGGGUCAUUGGAAACUGGGGAACUUGAGUGCAGAAGAGGAGAGUGGAAUUCCACGUGUAGCGGUGAAAUGCGUAGAGAUGUGGAGGAACACCAGUGGCGAAGGCGACUCUCUGGUCUGUAACUGACGCUGAGGAGCGAAAGCGUGGGGAGCGAACAGGAUUAGAUACCCUGGUAGUCCACGCCGUAAACGAUGAGUGCUAAGUGUUAGGGGGUUUCCGCCCCUUAGUGCUGCAGCU